GAGUUUGAUCCUGGCUCAGAACGAACGCUGGCGGCGUGCCUAACACAUGCAAGUCGAACGUGAUCCAGAGCUUGCUCUGGUGAAAGUGGCGCACGGGUGAGUAACGCGUGGAUAACCUACCCUGGUAUCCGGGAUAACAUUCCGAAAGGGGUGCUAAUACCGGAUAAGCCCACGGGCUCUUUGGAGCUUGCGGGAAAAGGUGGCCUCUAUUUAUAAGCUACUGUAUCAGGAUGGGUCCGCGUACCAUUAGCCAGUUGGCGGUGUAACGGACCACCAAGGCGACGAUGGUUAGCUGGUCUGAGAGGAUGAUCAGCCACACUGGAACUGAGACACGGUCCAGACUCCUACGGGAGGCAGCAGUGGGGAAUUUUGCGCAAUGGGGGAAACCCUGACGCGGCAACGCCGCGUGAGUGAUGAAGGCCUUUGGGUCGUAAAGCUCUGUCAGAGGGGAAGAAAUGAUAUAGUGCUAAUACCACUUUAUCUUGACGGUACCCUCAAAGGAAGCACCGGCUAACUCCGUGCCAGCAGCCGCGGUAAUAC
This 540-nucleotide ribosomal RNA is filed under the name uncultured Geobacteraceae bacterium. Its description in RNAcentral is "bacterial SSU rRNA". It matches the Rfam family "Bacterial small subunit ribosomal RNA", at positions 9 to 526 of the family's 1533-position model. The record is from RNAcentral. Lineage: Bacteria; Pseudomonadati; Thermodesulfobacteriota; Desulfuromonadia; Geobacterales; Geobacteraceae.